RNAcentral lists this long non-coding RNA (1664 nucleotides) under Monodelphis domestica (gray short-tailed opossum). Its description in RNAcentral is "lncRNA (ENSMODG00000047516.1)". The record is from RNAcentral. Lineage: Eukaryota; Metazoa; Chordata; Mammalia; Didelphimorphia; Didelphidae.
UUUCUUUUCAAUAAUGCAAAUGGGAACACUUCUCUACAAACCCUUUCCCUGUUACUUGAUAGAAAGUCUUGGAGAAUUGCUAUGCAUGGCAUAUCAAUUAUUAUGUUCCCAACCUUUUGAUGAGACUCCCAGAAUUUAGUGUAAAGUGGUCCUUGGAAAAUAACCCCACACAGUCUGCACUCCAGUCCUACUCAAACCUUUCCUCUUUUGGUGGGAUCUGUUAAGGUUUAUGCUUCAGUGGCAGUCUUUAAAACUCAGUUACCCCUCUACAUCAUCAUAAGGAAAAGGAGUAAGAUCAAAGAUAGGACUUUGAUAUCAAUUGUACAAAUUCAUUCAUUCAUUCAACAGUGAAAUGCACUACCAAAACAAAGGAUGAAGUCCCUGCCUUCUAGGCAGGAACUUACAAUUUAAUAGAUUGUAAUAAUGCUGAUUCACAGAUAAAGAGAUACAAAUUAGAAAGGAAUAUAAAGUGCUGUGAGAUCUGCUUGGGGGAGAAUCAUUUUCUGGUGGAGGAAAUCAGGGAAGGCUAAUUAACAACAACUUAAUUGACUACAUUAAUAUAAAAAUCAAUAAAAAAUCCUAGAAUUAUUUCAAUUGAUGCAGAAAAAGCUUUUGACAAAAUAAAACAGAUAUUUCUAUUAAAAUUGUAAUAAAAAAGAUAAUCUGUAGGGAACUAUUUCUGGUUGUGGUAACUGGAAUAUAUUCUGGCUGACUGGAGAGCUGCUACUAGGGCACACCUGAGGCUGCCUAGUUAUAAUGGAGAUAGAAGAGAUAUAGAUACUUUUAGAGGGGAUUACUCAGGAGCUGCCUAAAGAUCUCUAAUGGCUAAUCAAGAUAUUUUCUACUACCUUCCUCCCUCAUUCCCACCUUUUUCCCUCCUCUCCCUCCCAGUUUCUUCUGAAGCCUAUGGCUUCCUCCCUCCCCCCUGAGUGGACUAUAAGAUUUAUGAGGAAAAACUCCUUUCUUUUCCUUUCUCAGCCCUUCUGGCCUUGCUGUUGCAAAGUGAAGUUGAUGCCUAGGACUCGAGACUUUAUUACUCUCGGUCGCUUACCUGCUUUCUCCUUUGGACUAAGUCUGAUUUUGGGCCAUAAUGACAGGAAAGAUUUGUGGCUAUACCCAGGACCCAGACAGAGGCGUCUUUAUUGCUCCCAGUUGUUAGUUACAUUUAUGUAUAUUUUGUGACUGACCUUAUUAACACACAUUUCUGCAUUUUUAAUAGAGAACACUAUAGUAGAACUCUUCAUUUGUCAUUGAACAUGUACUUCGUUGGGAUAAUUCUUGAUUUAUUAAAAGAACUUUUCAUUUGUCAUUUCCUUGAUUAGGUUGUGGAUGUGUUUUGUUUGUAUUCUCCAUCACACUUACACUAAAAUCUUGCUAUAUCAGACGUUUGAUACAUUGAUUGUUUCAUUCAUUCACAAAUAUUCCUUGGGAAUCCUUUGAGACAGGCCUUUUGGCAGAUGAUUGAAGACUAAGAGCUCCUUUCUCCAAGGAGUUACAAGGAAGGGGAGCGAUCACGGGAGUCAGUGUUUCUCAAAGAAUGAAAGCAUAAUGGAGGGGGAUGCAGUUUUAAUACUUUCCAUAAUGUGAAAGGUACGAUUGACAUUUGAAUGUUCUUAACAUUCUCUUCAUUUAAUAAACAUGAAUUAUUAUUUCCCCUAAUCCCA